Molecule: long non-coding RNA, 871 nt
Filed under: Homo sapiens (human)
Lineage: Eukaryota; Metazoa; Chordata; Mammalia; Primates; Hominidae
Description: HSALNT0079023
Source: RNAcentral
AAGCACAAUUACUUUUGCACCAACCUAAUAGAAAGCUUUGACCUAGAGGAAGGUACUUUAGGAGACUGCCAAUCAUCAGCAUGCUUUCUGUUUCCUUUUCUCUGCUUAUCUAUGUAAGGUUUUAUUCAAAGUGGGUACUCCUGGUUUAUGGUGGGAAUAUGAGUAGGGUUGUGGAGAAAAAGGAUACAGAGGCUUCUAACCCCACGAUCGCUUGAGGGAUGAGCUAUCAAUGAGAAUCUGGAGAUGUAUAUAGAAGCAGUAACCAUUAAAGGUUGUGUGAGUAACUGGGCUCAGGGUAUGCAAAUAGGCAAGGAGUGGGAUGCGCCCCUCAGUGAGCAAGUUCGUGGUUGUCUGAAGCUACUGCGACGGGGAGCCUCUUGGGGUCAGUGGAGAGGCUGAUGAAGCAGAGACAACUCCAGAAAAGAUGAUGCCUGCCACUGAGGCCAUCGGGAUGAUGGUGGGAGGAGGAACAGAGUCCACCUUACAAAAGAGGAGGAAGAAAUAGGGCCUCUUGAAAGGAAAAGUCUUUCUAGCUGGCCAUUGACUGUGACUUGGAAAAAGGCACAGGACCAAGAAAAGUAGAAGAAAAAUUUGAAGAGUACAAAAAAGAAUGUGUGACAGUUUGCUUUAAGUAUGUUUCAUGGAAAUAGCACAUCGCUGGAUCUAACGGCAAUAAGAAGUCUGCAGGGUGUAUAAUGGGAUUUUUUUUGAGUCUCCCAGAUUUAAAUCUAAAUCUUGGCUCCACCACUUACUGGCCAUGUGACCUCACGCAAAUAAAUGAUUACUUCUCCAAAACUCAGUUUCCUUAUUUGUGAAAUGCGACAAUAAUAGCAUCAUAUUAAUUGGAACUCUGAAUUGUAAUAAAAAUGAG